This 428-nucleotide ribosomal RNA is filed under the name uncultured bacterium. Its description in RNAcentral is "bacterial SSU rRNA". It matches the Rfam family "Bacterial small subunit ribosomal RNA", at positions 356 to 775 of the family's 1533-position model. The record is from RNAcentral.
GAGGAAUCUUGCGCAAUGGGGGAAACCCUGACGCAGCAACGCCGCGUGAGUGAGGAAGGUCUUCGGAUCGUAAAGCUCUGUCAGUUGGAAAGAAAUGUCUGAGAGUCAAUACCUUUCAGGCUUGACGGUACCAACAGAGGAAGCACCGGCUAACUCCGUGCCAGCAGCCGCGGUAAUACGGGGGGUGCAAGCGUUGUUCGGAAUUAUUGGGCGUAAAGAGCGUGUAGGCGGCCGGAUAUGUCAGAUGUGAAAGCCCCGGGCUUAACCCGGGAAGUGCAGUUGAAACUGUCCGGCUCGAGUAGGGGAGAGGGAAGUGGAAUUCCUGGUGUAGAGGUGAAAUUCGUAGAUAUCAGGAGGAACACCGGUGGCGAAGGCGACUUCCUGGCCCUAUACUGACGCUGAGACGCGAGAGCGUGGGUAGCAAACAG